AACGAACGCUGGCGGCAUGCCUAACACAUGCAAGUCGAACGAGACCUUCGGGUCUAGUGGCGCACGGGUGCGUAACGCGUGGGAAUCUGCCCUUGGGUUCGGAAUAACAGUUGGAAACGACUGCUAAUACCGGAUGAUGACGUAAGUCCAAAGAUUUAUCGCCCAAGGAUGAGCCCGCGUAGGAUUAGCUAGUUGGUGAGGUAAAGGCUCACCAAGGCGACGAUCCUUAGCUGGUCUGAGAGGAUGAUCAGCCACACUGGGACUGAGACACGGCCCAGACUCCUACGGGAGGCAGCAGUGGGUAAUAUUGGACAAUGGGCGAAAGCCUGAUCCAGCAAUGCCGCGUGAGUGAUGAAGGCCUUAGGGUUGUAAAGCUCUUUUACCCGGGAUGAUAAUGACAGUACCGGGAGAAUAAGCACCGGCUAACUCCGUG
RNAcentral lists this ribosomal RNA (433 nucleotides) under uncultured bacterium. RNAcentral describes it as "partial 16S ribosomal RNA". It matches the Rfam family "Bacterial small subunit ribosomal RNA", at positions 29 to 507 of the family's 1533-position model. The record is from RNAcentral.